Molecule: long non-coding RNA, 614 nt
Filed under: Marmota monax (woodchuck)
Lineage: Eukaryota; Metazoa; Chordata; Mammalia; Rodentia; Sciuridae
Source: RNAcentral
CUUCAGAUUGAAUAAUAAUAAAAGAGUUCCUAUUAUGAGCUCCCAGAUUCUUGCACAGCCUCAUUAUUGAAGAAAGUUCAUUCUGAAAAUCUGAAGCAAUUAAAGGGUAAAUAUGAUCAGGUUAUCUCCCCCAAGUUCUCAGCCUGAGAAGGAGAAUCAUUUUUUGUCAAUCUAAUGAAGCAUUUAAAGAUGAACAUAAAGAUUAUAUUAAAGUUCAGAAAGCCAGAGGCUUAGAGCCAAAGACUUGUUUCAGAAAGAUGAGAGAGGACUAUUUGGAAACCUGUGGGUACAGAGAACAGGUUGAGUCCAGACUCAGGUAUAGAAUGUUUGAUAAAGACCCCCAUUGGGAACUCUCCAGACCUACCCAAGAUCAUGCAGUACUCCACAAACAGUGGAAAACCAGGUACCCCAGUGCUUUACCAGCUCAGGACAACAGGCUGAGACUCUCUGAGCUACUCUCAGCUCCCCAAGGACUGUUUCUUAGAGAAACUAGUGCUCAUGAAACUUGGUCAGUGAGAAUAUAAUUGUGGUUCAUAUGACAUAGAAUCCAGAGUUCACCUUUCCUCGAGAAACAGCCCCAGUGACCAUCAAACCAGCCAUAAGCAGGUACAUCA